Anas platyrhynchos (mallard) is the source of this 1799-nucleotide non-coding RNA. The record is from RefSeq and is a predicted model, not a curated record. Lineage: Eukaryota; Metazoa; Chordata; Aves; Anseriformes; Anatidae.
UUAAAUGUAUCUUUCUCCACCGGUUCCUUUUCAUUAUUCUGGAAAAUGAGCUUUAGCUGCUUUGGUUGCUGUACUUGAUAAAGCUAUGUAUGCUUCUUGCACUUCCGCUUCUGGAAAAAAAGUAUUGGAGGCCUCAGACUGGCUAAUGAAAUGAAGAGAGAAACAUGGUCGUUAGUUGGAGUGGUGUGGGGCUCUUGAGCCAACUCUUCUACUGUAAUGAAGCAUUUGAUGCUCUUAGGAGACUUGCUUAUUUCAGUGGGUAAUGGCUCUGUUUAUUGAGUUUGCGCAAAUGCAUUUGAUUUAGUCAAUUUAGGCUCUGCAUUUAAGAAAAUUACGAGGGAGGUGGGACUCGAUCAGCAAGAGGUAAAUUAGUUUGAAUGCAUAUAAAAGGAUCUUGCAGAGGGUAAAUUUACAGUCAAACUGUCACAUGGAAAUCAUAAUAUGCAGUACUUGUCAGGUUUGAUAAAUGAAUCAAGAUUGUAAAAUUGCCCUUACCUUGAGGUGUGCUUGCAUUUGACCAGCAACAAAACUGAAGUGCUGCUGUGUCAUCUUAAACUGCCUCACAAGAGAGAAACCUACAUAAAGCUGGAGUCACUACAUUUGAAAAGGAGUGCAGGAAGGAGACUGAUAACUCACAGGGAGGGAUAGACAUCCCCUGAAUACACAAAACAUGAGGAUCCCUGCAGAGAACAGUGCCGGGAUGCCAGUCACCCUACAGCAGUUCCCUGAACUAGAUACUAGCUGAGAGACUAGAUAACAUCCCUGCUUAAUCCUGACUUUUCAUCCAGUGUGGAAGCUCAUCCCCAAAUGGUUAAAAGAUCUUGGGAAGCCACUCUGGAAGAAACUGUCCAAUUCACUGACUCUGAUGUAUCUGAUAUAAAUAAAAAUUGAAAUUAAAUGUUGAAUUUGUCAGCUUGUCAAAACAGUCUCAUAGUACUGUAAAUUAUGGAUCUGUAAAUAAGCUUCUAACCAUGAAAUGUGCGUCCUUUCAUGCUAUUUGGAAAUCUCAUCCAUACUGAACUACAUAGUGUAUGAAGUGAUGGUUUGUAUACAGAUGUAACAAAAUGCAGAGGAAUUUUCUCCGAAGAGUAUACUCCUGUGGAUAUAUUAUCCAGUUUAAUAUUUAGAUAUCCAAGCUUAUAUCUUUUCUGGGCAGUAACAUGCUGCAUCAACUUGUAAAACUGCUACAUGUGUGACAGAAGUUCCUUCUUAAAUGUCAUUGUAUAUGACUGCUUGCUGCUGUCUAGCAUUUUCAGAUUUCUGGCAAUUACCAUUGAGCUCAGUUCAGCACUGACUGGGGUUCUGGUUAUUAAGUUUCCUGACAAAAUUUAUGAAAUAGCAAUAGAGGAAUUGUCAUAUCAAACACCUCUGGUCUACCUGUUUCUUUAUCCUGUCACUGACUUAGCUGUUAGCAUGUACUUCAAAGAACAGCACAAGAAAUAUUGUAAUGAUGUGGAUUUCCUACAGGAAAAUUUCCUUUCUAACCCUGACCAGGUAUUGGUAGGCUUACAUCCUUAAGUAUGAGGGUUUAGGGAUAAGCAUGCAAGCCAAAGGGAAUUCUACUGCUACAUCAUUCUUUAAAAUAAUGUUGUGGUAAUCCAAGCAAGUGCAAUCAACCAGUUUUCCAUUAUCCACAGGUUUUACUGAUCUGCAACAAAGUGUUCUCUUUACAAUAUCAUGCUGAAUUGUUGCUACUUUUGUGAAAAAAAAAAAGAAUACUUAAUUAUUCUUGAUGGCUAGUUUUUAAUUUUUGCCUUGUAAGAGAAACUUUCAAGCUUUCCCUGAGUGAAGUGAUCUGU